GAGUANCACGUGGGNAAAGNGCCCAGAAGCAGGGGAUAACACCUGGAAACAGAUGCUAAUACCGUAUAACAGAGAAAACCGCCUGGUUUUCUUUUAAAAGAUGGCUCUGCUAUCACUUCUGGAUGGACCCGCGGCGCAUUAGCUAGUUGGUGAGGUAACGGCUCACCAAGGCGAUGAUGCGUAGCCGACCUGAGAGGGUAAUCGGCCACAUUGGGACUGAGACACGGCCCAGACUCCUACGGGAGGCAGCAGUAGGGAAUCUUCCACAAUGGACGCAAGUCUGAUGGAGCAACGCCGCGUGAGUGAAGAAGGGUUUCGGCUCGUAAAGCUCUGUUGUUAAAGAAGAACGUGGGUGAGAGUAACUGUUCACCCAGUGACGGUAUUUAACCAGAAAGCCACGGCUAACUACGUGCCAGCAGCCGCGGUAAUACGUAGGUGGCAAGCGUUAUCCGGAUUUAUUGGGCGUAAAGCGAGCGCAGGCGGUCUUUUAAGUCUAAUGUGAAAGCCUUCGGCUCAACCGAAGAAGUGCAUUGGAAACUGGGAGACUUGAGUGCAGAAGAGGACAGUGGAACUCCAUGUGUAGCGGUGAAAUGCGUAGAUAUAUGGAAGAACACCAGUGGCGAAGGCGGCUGUCUGGUCUGUAACUGACGCUGAGGCUCGAAAGCAUGGGUAGCGAACAGGAUUAGAUACCCUGGUAGUCCAUGCCGUAAACGAUGAUUACUAAGUGUUGGAGGGUUUCCGCCCUUCAGUGCUGCAGCUAACGCAUUAAGUAAUCCGCCUGGGGAGUACNACCGCAAGGUUGAAACUCAAAAGAAUUGACGGGGGCCCGCACAAGCGGUGGAGCAUGUGUUUAAUUCGAAGCUACGCGAAGAACCUUACCAGGUCUUGACAUCUNCUGCCAACCUANAGAUUANNGUUCCCUUCCGGGANANAAUGACAGGNGGUGCAUGGNNNNCGUCAGCUC
RNAcentral lists this ribosomal RNA (964 nucleotides) under Pediococcus acidilactici. RNAcentral's name for it is "bacterial SSU rRNA". It matches the Rfam family "Bacterial small subunit ribosomal RNA", at positions 108 to 1061 of the family's 1533-position model. The record is from RNAcentral. Lineage: Bacteria; Bacillati; Bacillota; Bacilli; Lactobacillales; Lactobacillaceae.